UACGUAGGUGGCAAGCGUUGUCCGGAAUUAUUGGGCUUAAAGCGCGCGCAGGCGGUCCUUUAAGUCUGAUGUGAAAGCCCACGGCUCAACCGUGGAGGGUCAUUGGAAACUGGGGGACUUGAGUACAGAAGAGGAAAGUGGAAUUCCACGUGUAGCGGUGAAAUGCGUAGAGAUGUGGAGGAACACCAGUGGCGAAGGCGACUUUCUGGUCUGUAACUGACGCUGAGGCGCGAAAGCGUGGGGAGCAAACAGG
Molecule: ribosomal RNA, 253 nt
Filed under: uncultured bacterium
Lineage: Bacteria
Description: partial 16S ribosomal RNA
Rfam family: Bacterial small subunit ribosomal RNA
Source: RNAcentral